This 5425-nucleotide long non-coding RNA is filed under the name Hordeum vulgare. RNAcentral describes it as "long non-coding RNA (HVUL_LNC011314)". Lineage: Eukaryota; Viridiplantae; Streptophyta; Magnoliopsida; Poales; Poaceae. The record is from RNAcentral.
GAGCAGACGACCAGGGAACCGGAGCCGGUCACGCCCACGCGCGACCAGGGCGAUUUCUACCGCACCGGCGUGACCCCGACCGCGCCGGAGCCGCCGGCGAUGCUAACCUCCCCGGAGACGUGGGAGAAGCCAUGGACGCCAUUUGUACCGCAGACGUCGGCGUUUGUUCCCAAGACGCCGGCGUAUGUGCCCAAGACGCCAUAAUUACCAUGGGCCUUAAAAUUAUUCCCUCCAUCAUGGUUUAAAAGCGCGUGUUUGAAAAUUCUCUCGAACCUAUGUGGUUAUUGAUUGACUGUGAGAUGGACAGAAAAAUAGCAUUCACAAUCGCAUGCAUAUAAAAGUAGUACUACAACGGAAUACUAAUUAGCUGCUAAGAGUAAAUGCAAUGCGCCUUAAACCUUGUUUAUUAUGGAAAUGAACGUAAAUUUAACCGUGCCUUCUAAACUGUGACGAAGGAAAUACAGACGAUGUAUCGAGGCUGAUGGGUCUUUUAAACCCGAACGAAAAUAGUAUUUAAUAGGUCUAAUCAUAGAAUAUACAUGUGCAUCAUCAUCACAUCAGUACCAAUAGUAACAUAAAACAUGACCUACAAAGAUAGACGAUCAUGAGGCAACACGAUAGAGAGAUGGAACUACUCCUCCGGUUUAGCAACAAUGAAACCGAGAAAGAUAAAUCUCCCAUCACGUCCAUGGCGGAGCACGAAGAUCAUCAUGUCUUCAAUAUCUAUGUCGUACAUACGACUACUUUGCUCCACCCAUUAAGAACUAUGCUUCCAUCUCCUUGUCACGAAUACGAGUAUGAAGUCGAACCGAGAUGUUAACACUAGGAUGGAACACAAUGGUUAUAGCUCUUCAUUUGCACUCAUCUCCUUAGGCACAGUAUUCACUCUGUAAUAAGCUAUCAAAAUAUUUGUAAAUAAGGUCACUUAAAUAUAGCAUCCGGAUGAAAUGUGAUUAUUUAAAUCUAGCUGUAAAUAUGGUUACUUAAAAUUAAUUGCUGGAUAUUUGCCAGAAUCAUUACACGGAUGAGUUAUUGUAUAUCACUAGCAAAAAGACCCGUGCGUUGCAACGGGAGAAAAAAAUCACCAUCUUCAAUGGCAAUGACCAUAUUAUGUUCAUAUCUCAUCGCAUGAUUUCAAAAACUUGUUCACAAAUGUAAGAAAAUAUUUCUUUUAUUUUAUUUUAUUCACAAUUCACAAGUUGAAACAAUGUUCAUAUUUUAAAAAAAAUAUCAUGGUUAUCAAAAAACUUGGUAACUCAAAGAAUUAUUCUGAAUUUCAAGAAACAUUUUAAAAAAUAUAGUAUAAUAUUCCGAUCCAUCAUCACAAUUAAUUCUUCAAAAUUCACUCAGGUAUAUAAUCUGAAAGACUCAGAAGCAUUACUAUUGAACGCCAUACAUUCGAUCUUUCGUGAACAUUUUUACAAAUUUGGGAAUAUUUUUAAAAUCAAGAACAUUCUUUACUAUUUAUAAACAUUUUUUUAAAAUUACAAAUAAUAUUUUAUAUUACAAACUGUUUUCAAGUAUUUUCUUGGGAAUUGGCGAAUAAUUCAUUUUUUGAAUUAUCCAACAUUUUUUUAAUUGCAUUAAAGAAAUUGCUAAAAAUGAUGGACUUUUUUUAUUCACGAAUGUUUUCUCCAAAAUUACGAAUUUUUUAAUAUGCAAUUUUUUUUACAAAAAUCCUGAACAAUUUUUUGAAUUCGCAAACAUUUUAUAUUUUAUCAAACAUUUAUGUAAAUAUUUAUUUUUUAAUUUCGAAAGUUUUUGUUGAUUUAUUUGAAAUAUAAAAAAUAAAAAGUAACAGAUAAAUAUUAAUUAAAAAACUAAAAAAAAGGCACCUGCCCAUGGGCUGGCCCAAAUGGGCGUGGUGCUUAUUUUCCAACGAGCAGAGCGUAGUAUAGCUGGUCCCUAUGCUUGGGCCGGCCCAUGCGAGAAUUACCUGCAAAACGUUUUUUAUAACUUAUAGGUGGCAUUGAUGGGUAAUUUUAAAGAAUUUUAGAGGCAAUUUUAAUAACGUACCACAGAAGCAAUAGGUGCUUUAUUAAUAGGGAUAGAUUGCUCAAACGUACUUAGAGGUGACGAUUAGGUUUUCCACCUAGUUCGAGGGAUAUCUCCACACGUACUUCGAACUGAUAUAUUUUGACAACUUCUUUCCAAAUACGUCAUGUGAAAAAUGUCUUAUCUUUUUAGUUCUAGACCCUGCAUACUCGAAAACAAAAGCUCUCUCAUGUCUUAGAUCUAUUUAUAACUUUACUCAUAUGCACUAUAACCCGUAGCAAUUACCUUUGUUUACACGUAUGAGGAAUUAGCAUGUGUGUUUGUCCACGUUCUUCUUAUCUUCUUCCUUUGGCAGUUAGGCCAUCCAUUAUUGUUGGCAAUAACAUGGUUUAGGACAUCCAUUUCAAUGUGGUUGGUGUUAGACAUUGUAUUACGUAUACACAUGGUAUAUGUAUAAACCAUGUGUAUUACGAUUGUAGGCAUGCGUGUGUGGUUUAAACUAGGGAUAUCUUGUUAGGGUCUAUCUCUUGUGUUUAACCUUGUAGAUAGAGAUAGAUCCUAACUCCUUGUUGUAAUCUCCUAGGUCUUGUGCCUUUAUUAACACGCACGUGUCCCUGCUAAACGCAUACGCUUCAGGCCUUUCUAUUCUCACAUGGUAUCAGAGCCUAUCUCGUUGCAAAACGGUUUGAACAAUGUUAUGGUCUUGAUUAUGAGGAUACUUUAAAUCCCGUUGUUAAAGCCGCCACCAUCAGAUUGGUUCUGUCUAUAGCUGUCUCUAGGAAUUGGUGUAUGCGACAGUUGGACGUUAAGAACGCGUUUUUUGCAUGGUGUUCUGGAAGAGAAUGUUUUUAUGCGACAGCCACCUGGGUAUACAGAUUCAAGGUUUCCGCACUUGGUCUGUAAACUGGAUAAAGCUCUGUAUGGUCUCAAACAGGCUCCCCGUGCAUGGUACUCUCGCUUGUCUUUCAAGCUUCAGUCUCUUGGUUUUCAACCCUCCAAGAGUGAUACCUCACUGUUUUUUUAUUCUCGGAGAGGGGUGACUAUCUUUAUGCUCAUAUAUGUGGAUGACAUUAUUGUUACUAGUUCCUCUGUACAAGCAGUUGAAGCCCUCCUCAGUGAUCUUCGCAUGGACUUUGCACUCAAAGAUCUUGGAUCCCUCCAUUAUUUUCUUGGUAUUGAGGUAACUUCUACUGAUAAUGGUAUUGCUUUAUCUCAAGGGAAAUAUUUGCUUGAUUUGCUUCAACGAGUCAAUAUGAAUGGUUGCAAACCUGUCAGUACUCCUUUGUCUACUUCUGAGAAGUUGUCUUUGUUUGAUGGACAUCCUCUUGGAGAUGGAGAUUCUACCAACUAUCGCAGUGUUGUUGGUGCUUUGCAAUACUUAACUCUUACUAGACCAGAUAUUUGUUGUUCGGUCAACAAGGUAUGUCAAUUCUUGCAUGCUCCAACCUCUGUUCACUGGACGGCAGUCAAACGUGUACUUCGUUAUUUACAAGGCACUAUCACCCAUGGUCUGCGUAUAUCUAAGUCUCAUUCCAUGUUAGUCAGCGCAUUCUCUGAUGCAGAUUGGGCUGGUUGCCCUGAUGACAGAAAGUCUACUGGUGGUUUUGCUGUUUUUGUUGGUAGUAAUCUUGUGUCUUGGACUGCACGAAAGCAACCUACAGUUUCUCGCUCCAGCACAGAGGCUGAGUACAAAGCACUUGCUAAUGCUACUGCCGAGGUAAUAUGGGUAUAGAACCUUUUGACUGAGCUGGGUAUUCCUCAUCCUAAGUCUUUCUCCCUAUGGUGUGAUAAUUUAGGAGCUACAUACUUAUCUGCAAAUCCUAUUUUUCAUGCACGGACAAAGCAUAUUGAAAUUGAUUAUCACUUUGUCCGUGAGAGAGUGGCUCAGAAACUGCUACACAUACGGUUUAUUCCCACUGGUGAUCAAUUGGCUGAUGGCUUUACUAAACCUCUUACUCUUCGCCAGAUGGAAGUUUUUCGUCGCAAUCUCAACUUGGACAAGUUGUGAUUGAGGGGGAGUGUUAGACAUUGUAUUACGUAUACACAUGGUAUAUGUAUAAACCAUGUGUAUUACGAUUGUAGGCAUGCGUGUGUGGUUUAAACUAGGGAUAUCUUGUUAGGGUCUACCUCUUGUGUUUAACCUUGUAGAUAGAGAUAGAUCCUAACUCCUUGUUGUAAUCUUCUAGGUCUUGUGCCUUUAUUAACACGCACGCGUCCCUGCUAAACGCAUACACUUCAAGCCUUUCUAUUCUCACAGUUGGUUCGAAAAAUAGCAGUGGCCACCAAUCCAUGCCGAAAUUAGCAUCUCUAUCCCGGUACAUAAACACGUACGCGCCAGCAUGCAAAAAAUUCUAAACCACCCACUUCCACGUUAACCGACCAUGCACGCCGAUCAGCUAGUACCGGCGGUCGUCGCCGUCGUGGCCGUGUUGUGCCUGCUCAUCGCCGGCCGCGCGGAUGGCCAGGACGAGUACGUCCCUGCUACCGCGGGGAGCCAAGAGGUGGAGCCGCAGCCGGGGCUGCUGCCGGGGGCCUCCCUGGCCAAGGCGUUCACAGGCGGCUACUUCCCGCAGCAGCCCAAGGCCGAGCCGGAGCCGGAGCAGACGACCACGGAACCGGAGCCGGAGCCGGAGCAGACGACCAGGGAACCGGAGCCGGUCACGCCCACGCGCGACCAGGGCGAUUUCUACCGCACCGGCGUGACCCCGACCGCGCCGGAGCCGCCGGCGAUGCUAACCUCCCCAGAGACGUGGGAGAAGCCGUGGACGCCAUUUGUACCCAAGACGUCGGCGAUUGUUCCCAAGACGCCGACGUAUGUGCCCGAGACGCCGGCGUUUGUGCCCAAGACGCCAUAAUUACCAUGGGCCUUAAAAUUAUUCCCUCCAUCAUGGUUUAAAAGCGCGUGUUUGAAAAUUCUUUCGAACCUAUGUGGUUAUUGAUUGACUGUGAGAUGAGCUGAAAAAUAGCAUUCACAAUCAAAUGCAUAUAAAAGUAGUACAACGAAAUACUAAUUAGCUGCUAAGAGUAAAUUCAAUGCGCCUUAAACCUUGUUUAUUGUGAAAAUGCACGUAAAUUUAACCGUGCCUUCUAAACUGUGACGAAGGAAAUAUAAACGAUGUAUCGAGGCUGACGGGUCUUUUAAACCCGAAAGGAAGUAGUAUUUAAUAGGUCUGAUCGUAGAACAUAUAUGUGCAUCAUCAUCACAUCAGAACCAAUAGUAACAUAAAACAUGACCUACAAAGAUGGACGAUCAUGAGGCAACACGAUAGAGAGACAGAACUACUCAUCCUCCGGUUUAGCAACAAUGAAACCGAGAAAGAGAAAUCUCCCAUCACGUCCAUGGUGGAGCACGAAGAUCAUCAUGUCUUCAAUAUCUAUGUCGUACAUACGACUACUUUGCUCCACCCAUUAAAACCAAUAUUUCCAUCUC